GGAGAGAUGCCGGAGCGGUCGAACGGGGCGGUCUUGAAAACCGCUGUGUGGGGCGACCUGCACCCAGGGUUCGAAUCCCUGUCUCUCCGCCA
RNAcentral lists this transfer RNA (92 nucleotides) under Planctomycetota bacterium. RNAcentral describes it as "tRNA-Ser". It matches the Rfam family "tRNA". Rfam says of the family: Transfer RNA (tRNA) molecules are approximately 80 nucleotides in length. Lineage: Bacteria; Pseudomonadati; Planctomycetota. The record is from RNAcentral.